GGGCGUUAAGUUGCAGGGUAUAGACCCGAAACCCGGUGAUCUAGCCAUGGGCAGGUUGAAGGUUGGGUAACACUAACUGGAGGACCGAACCGACUAAUGUUGAAAAAUUAGCGGAUGACCUGUGGCUGGGGGUGAAAGGCCAAUCAAACCGGGAGAUAGCUGGUUCUCCCCGAAAGCUAUUUAGGUAGCGCCUCGUGAACUCAUCUCCGGGGGUAGAGCACUGUUUCGGCUAGGGGGCCAUCCCGGCUUACCAACCCGAUGCAAACUGCGAAUACCGGAGAAUGUUAUCACGGGAGACACACGGCGGGUGCUAACGUCCGUCGUGAAGAGGGAAACAACCCAGACCGCCAGCUAAGGUCCCAAAGUCAUGGUUAAGUGGGAAACGAUGUGGGAAGGCCCAGACAGCCAGGAUGUUGGCUUAGAAGCAGCCAUCAUUUAAAGAAAGCGUAAUAGCUCACUGGUCGAGUCGGCCUGCGCGGAAGAUGUAACGGGGCUAAACCAUGCACCGAAGCUGCGGCAGCGACGCUUAUGCGUUGUUGGGUAGGGGAGCGUUCUGUAAGCCUGUGAAGGUGUGCUGUGAGGCAUGCUGGAGGUAUCAGAAGUGCGAAUGCUGACAUAAGUAACGAUAAAGCGGGUGAAAAGCCCGCUCGCCGGAAGACCAAGGGUUCCUGUCCAACGUUAAUCGGGGCAGGGUGAGUCGACCCCUAAGGCGAGGCCGAAAGGCGUAGUCGAUGGGAAACAGGUUAAUAUUCCUGUACUUGGUGUUACUGCGAAGGGGGGACGGAGAAGGCUAUGUCGGCCGGGCGACGGUUGUCCCGGUUUAAGCGUGUAGGCUGACUUUCCAGGCAAAUCCGGAAGGUUAAGGCUGAGGCGUGAUGACGAGGCACCACGGUGCUGAAGUGACAAAUGCCCUGCUUCCAGGAAAAGCCUCUAAGCAUCAGGUAACAUCAAAUCGUACCCCAAACCGACACAGGUGGUCAGGUAGAGAAUACCAAGGCGCUUGAGAGAACUCGGGUGAAGGAACUAGGCAAAAUGGUGCCGUAACUUCGGGAGAAGGCACGCUGACAUGUAGGUGAAGCCCCUGCGGGUGGAGCUGAAGUCAGUCGAAGAUACCAGCUGGCUGCAACUGUUUAUUAAAAACACAGCACUGUGCAAACACGAAAGUGGACGUAUACGGUGUGACGCCUGCCCGGUGCCGGAAGGUUAAUUGAUGGGGUUAUCGCAAGAGAAGCUCCUGAUCGAAGCCCCGGUAAACGGCGGCCGUAACUAUAACGGUCCUAAGGUAGCGAAAUUCCUUGUCGGGUAAGUUCCGACCUGCACGAAUGGCGUAAUGAUGGCCAGGCUGUCUCCACCCGAGACUCAGUGAAAUUGAACUCGCUGUGAAGAUGCAGUGUACCCGCGGCAAGACGGAAAGACCCCGUGAACCUUUACUACAGCUUGACACUGAACAUUGAGCCUUGAUGUGUAGGAUAGGUGGGAGGCUUUGAAGCGUGGACGCCAGUCUGCGUGGAGCCAACCUUGAAAUACCACCCUUUAAUGUUUGAUGUUCUAACCUGGCGCCCUGAUCGGGCGUGGGGACAGUGUCUGGUGGGUAGUUUGACUGGGGCGGUCUCCUCCCAAAGUGUAACGGAGGAGCACGAAGGUCAGCUAAUCCUGGUCGGACAUCAGGAGGUUAGUGCAAUGGCAUAAGCUGGCUUGACUGCGAGAGUGACGGCUCGAGCAGGUGCGAAAGCAGGUCAUAGUGAUCCGGUGGUUCUGUAUGGAAGGGCCAUCGCUCAACGGAUAAAAGGUACUCCGGGGAUAACAGGCUGAUACCGCCCAAGAGUUCAUAUCGACGGCGGUGUUUGGCACCUCGAUGUCGGCUCAUCACAUCCUGGGGCUGAAGUAGGUCCCAAGGGUAUGGCUGUUCGCCAUUUAAAGUGGUACGCGAGCUGGGUUUAGAACGUCGUGAGACAGUUCGGUCCCUAUCUGCCGUGGGCGCUGGAGAAUUGAGGGGGGCUGCUCCCAGUACGAGAGGACCGGAGUGGACGCAUCACUGGUGUUCGGGUUGUCAUGCCAAUGGCACUGCCCGGUAGCUAAAUGCGGAAGAGAUAAGUGCUGAAAGCAUCUAAGCACGAAACUUGCCCCGAGAUGAGUUCUCCCUGAGACUAUAAGUCUCCUGAAGGAACGUUGAAGACGACGACGUUGAUAGGCCGGGUGUGUAAGCGCAGCGAUGCGUUGAGCUAACCGGUACUAAUGAACCGUGAGGCUUAACCUU
This 2257-nucleotide ribosomal RNA is filed under the name Cronobacter sakazakii. RNAcentral describes it as "partial 23S ribosomal RNA". It matches the Rfam family "Bacterial large subunit ribosomal RNA", at positions 690 to 2925 of the family's 2925-position model. The record is from RNAcentral. Lineage: Bacteria; Pseudomonadati; Pseudomonadota; Gammaproteobacteria; Enterobacterales; Enterobacteriaceae.